Molecule: long non-coding RNA, 878 nt
Filed under: Sorghum bicolor (sorghum)
Lineage: Eukaryota; Viridiplantae; Streptophyta; Magnoliopsida; Poales; Poaceae
Description: long non-coding RNA (SBIC_LNC015225)
Source: RNAcentral
GUGGCACAGAUGAUUCACCCUCCCUCAACUCCGAGGUCCGGCGGCGAUAGGGCGGCUCUCCCUCGAGAAGGCUGUGGUAUGCCUUAAUCCUCUCUCUCUCUCUCCCUCUCAAAUCCAGGGCCGCCCUUCACCUCACCUUCUCUGUCGCAGAUCCAUGGUGACAGCGACGGACGAGUGCCUUCUCCAGUUGUGGCCUGCUCCCUCUCUUGGUCUCCCCCAUGGCGUGAUGGCGGUGGAUUGGGUCGAUGGGUACGGCAGAUCCAGGCGCAAGCCACUCGAUCCAGCAAGCGGAUGGGCGGAUCUGGUGAGCAACUUUUGGAUCCGACUAGCAGGCGUAGCGACAGUAGUAUAGAUCUAACGUGCAAGCACACCAUCGGUGCAGAUUUGGCCAACAGUGCCUAGAUAGGCUUGGCGGGCCACGCUCACUAGGCUUUUUUCUUUUUUUUGUUUUCUCUUAUCGAUUAACUGAGGUGGGAUUAACGAAAGCCUUUCGUUAGAGGUAGUUGGGGUUGCCCGCCUCCAAAAAUCUAAAACGUCCGCCUCCAUAAAUUCUUUUUGUAGUAGUGACAGUUUGGUUGUAAAUCGUGAGAUAAAUUUUUUAAUCCUAAUUAGUCCAUAAUCAGCCAUAAUUGCUACAGUAACCAUCGUGUGCUAACCACGAAAAAAUUGCGGGCUAUCAAAAAUAGCGCUGGCUGAUUCUAGCCGCUAUUUUCCGCUAUAGCGCCGCUAUAGCGACCGCAUACGACGUAGCGGUCGCGCUAUGGUGCCGCUAUAGCCCGCUAUUUAAAUACAGCACACACCAGAUGAAAAGUUUAAAACUAAAAUCUCACAAGUGACAAGUAACUCACAAGUCACAACCCAUGAUCUAAUAGUCUAUU